CACGUAGGGGGCGAGCGUUGUCCGGAAUUAUUGGGCGUAAAGAGCUCGUAGGCGGUUUGUUGCGUCGGCUGUGAAAUCCCGAGGCUCAACCUCGGGUCUGCAGUCGAUACGAGCAAACUAGAGUGUUGCAGGGGAGACUGGAAUUCCUGGUGUAGCGGUGAAAUGCGCAGAUAUCAGGAGGAACACCGGUGGCGAAGGCGGUUCUCUGGGCAUGAUCUGACGCUGAGGAGCGAAAGUGUGGGGAGCGAACAGG
RNAcentral lists this ribosomal RNA (253 nucleotides) under uncultured bacterium. RNAcentral describes it as "partial 16S ribosomal RNA". It matches the Rfam family "Bacterial small subunit ribosomal RNA", at positions 524 to 776 of the family's 1533-position model. The record is from RNAcentral.